GGUGGCUCAGUGGUAGAGUGCUUGCCUUGCAUGCAUAAGGCCCUGGGUUCGAUUCCUCAGUACCA
Molecule: non-coding RNA, 65 nt
Organism: Dipodomys ordii (Ord's kangaroo rat)
Lineage: Eukaryota; Metazoa; Chordata; Mammalia; Rodentia; Heteromyidae
Source: Rfam